GGGACUUGGAACAAAAGGGGAAACUCUGAUGAACUCCUUCUCCAGCUCCCUGGACGCCCGAGUAUCUCUUUCUCGCAACUUUGUCAACGCGACUUUCUCCGCUGUCAGGCUGCGCAAAAGUAUCCUAGCGCCUCGCAGGCUGCAACAAUGGAAACAAUGUCCCUUCAAAGUGCGACGAAGUGGAGGGAGAAGGUGUCAUACCAGCGACUCCAAGAGUCAUGUCACCCACUUAGCAGGAGUACUUCUACUGAAAUGCCUUCGAAUUUCUCUUACUGGAUAUAUACCUACCAGCCGCUAGCAUGAAGAUGCCAGGACCGCUGCAAGUUAGCACUGGACAAAGUAGCAUCAACUUCUUCAUUUAGAGUUUCUUCAGUUAAAUUGCUGGGAUUUUCGACAAGGCUUUCCUUAUGUGGAUUAUUGGAGUGUGAUGCCCGAGAAUUCUCUACUUGUAGAAGCACGCCCACGGGACUGCAGAAGCCUUCACACCCACCCAGCACGCUCAGAUCAUCCAGUAACCAACCCAGGAAGUUCUUGUAAGCAUGCAUUUCUUAGUCAACACUGAAUGCCUUUAGACCGAGGUCAACCUUUUCAGCUGGUACCGUGGUUUACACUGCUGAAAGUACUGUCUUCAACCUUACCAAUGUCAGUGGCGGCGACGGUGGCGUCACCAUCACCAUCAGAGAAAAAGAAAUAUGCCUUUAUGUCAUGGUAAGAGGGUUGAUGGCCUAACACUGGCUUAACACUCAUGUCGGCUGCACUAAUUGAAGUCACAUCCAAGUGGGUCAAUGCACUGAACAUAUCUGAUAUAGAAGGUCCCAGAUCCUGAAUUUUUAUCAAUGGUUUGCUGUAUAAGGCUUGCCUCCCAAAUAGCUGAGGACCCUUAUUUGGGAAGAUACGUUCUGAUGGUUAAGCAACAGCACAGAUGUCGAUGGGAAUGAGUGAUGGCCAUCCAGUGACCAGCUGGAUCUGACUGCCUUACAAGACGCAUGUGUAUGAUUAAGAGAGAGACAUUCGUGACUCCCAGAUGUACCUCCUUCCUGUCCCACAGUGUUCCUGAAGGGAGUGAGUUAUGGGGUAACUUAUAACACAGCAGGCUCUUCCUCAAGAUAGCUCUUGUCAAAACAGGAAGACGAAACUCGGGUUUCCAUGAGGAGACCACAGCUUGGGAUCCUGUCUGGAUGUACAAGCAGAAGCAUCUUCAUACUUUUCCAUUUCUAACCAUCAUGCCUCACCCCACCCUCCCAAGGCGACAUCUGCAGAGAGGUGGAACCAUCUAGGGAGGCCUGCCACUGUUUGCUGAGCUCCGGGUGAGGAUGAAGACACUUUGACAUGGCCAGCUUCAGACUCGGGAUCUGUCGGUGUUAGCAGCCGAAGGAGAAUGAGGAGGAAGAGGAGGAGAAAGAGGAGGAGGAAGUAAGACAGAGGGGGACAAGAGGACCAAGAGGGCACAUGGCUGAGGAGGAGGAGAACAACAACAACAACAACAACAACAACAACAACAAGAAGCUUGGUGUUUUCAGGAUGUGUUCCUGAGUCUCGUGAGUAGCACAUGGCAGUUGUUGUCACCUUGGGCUGAGCCGUGAAGAUUCUCACCCUCCCUUGUUGGGGAUGAACUCCGGGAUUCUAAGGAGAGGUCAGCAGGUGUUUCACAGACUGUUCCUGUUGGAGGAUUUGUCUGAUACUCUUCUCCUGAUUAGUCUGGGCUCUACAUUUCCCCAAGGGUGAAACUUGGAAGCCCUCUCCAGGAUGCAGCAGGUAGCUGAGGAGAAAACGAAGACUGACCAGCCCAGAGCUCAGAGCUUCCUCCCAUGCUCAGGAUUUACCACCAAUGCCAUUACAUCGGCCUCUUCUUGUAUGCCUCUGGAAACCACAUGUGUCCUCUGUUUGUAAUGGUUUGGCUAUGGUUGCUGGCCCCUCUUGGACAUUGUUUUCAGAACUUAAAGAAACAUUGCUUUAAAGAUUUAUUAGAACAUAUUUAAAAUAAAACCAUCUUCUCAUUUA
Molecule: long non-coding RNA, 2001 nt
Filed under: Mus musculus (house mouse)
Lineage: Eukaryota; Metazoa; Chordata; Mammalia; Rodentia; Muridae
Description: RIKEN cDNA 2610307P16 gene
Source: RNAcentral